RNAcentral lists this transfer RNA (76 nucleotides) under Paracoccaceae bacterium. Its description in RNAcentral is "Rhodobacteraceae bacterium tRNA-Ile". It matches the Rfam family "tRNA". Rfam says of the family: Transfer RNA (tRNA) molecules are approximately 80 nucleotides in length. Their secondary structure includes four short double-helical elements and three loops (D, anti-codon, and T loops). Lineage: Bacteria; Pseudomonadati; Pseudomonadota; Alphaproteobacteria; Rhodobacterales; Paracoccaceae. The record is from RNAcentral. RNAcentral also lists the same sequence under 1 other name.
GGGUUGGUAGCUCAGGGGUUAGAGCGCACGCCUGAUAAGCGUGAGGCCGGUGGUUCAAAUCCACCUCGACCCACCA